Molecule: non-coding RNA, 110 nt
Organism: Acanthosepion pharaonis
Lineage: Eukaryota; Metazoa; Mollusca; Cephalopoda; Sepiida; Sepiidae
Source: the annotation of a GenBank genome assembly
CGGCUUUAUCACAUUAAAACACCAGUUCCCGUACGUUCACCGGAGUUAAGCAAAAUAGAACCUGGUCAUUAUUUAGAUGGGUGACCGCUUCGAAGUACCAGGUGCAGUAA